UUCCGGUUGAUCCUGGCAGAGGCUACUGCUAUUGGGGUCCGAUUAAGCCAUGCGAGUCGAACGUCCCUUCGGGGACGUGGCGAACGGCUCAGUAACACGUGGACAACCUACCCUUAGGACCGGGAUAACCCCGGGAAACUGGGGACAAUCCCGGAUAGGUGAAGUGGCCUGGAAUGGUACUUCACUGAAAGGCUCUUCGGAGCGCCUAAGGAUGGGUCUGCGGCCGAUUAGGUAGUUGGUAGGGUAACGGCCUACCAAGCCGAUAAUCGGUACGGGUUGUGAGAGCAAGAGCCCGGAGAUGGAACCUGAGACAAGGUUCCAGGCCCUACGGGGCGCAGCAGGCGCGAAACCUCCGCAAUGCACGCAAGUGCGACGGGGGGACCCCAAGUGCCACUCUUAACGGGGUGGCUUUUCAGGAGUGUAAAAAGCUCCUGGAAUAAGGGCUGGGCAAGACCGGUGCCAGCCGCCGCGGUAACACCGGCAGCUCGAGUGGUAGCCGCGUUUAUUGGGCCUAAAGCGUCCGUAGCCGGUCCGAUAAGUCUCUGGUGAAAGCCCACAGCUCAACUGUGGGAAUCGCUGGAGAUACUAUCGGACUUGAGGCCGGGAGAGGCUGGAGGUACUCCCAGGGUAGGGGUGAAAUCCUAUAAUCCUGGGAGGACCACCUGUGGCGAAGGCGUCCAGCUGGAACGGACCUGACGGUGAGGGACGAAAGCCAGGGGCGCGAACCGGAUUAGAUACCCGGGUAGUCCUGGCCGUAAACGAUGCGGACUUGGUGUUGGGAUGGCUUUGAGCUGUCCCAGUGCCGAAGGAAGCUGUUAAGUCCGCCGCCUGGGAAGUACGGCCGCAAGGCUGAAACUUAAAGGAAUGGGCGGGGGGGCACA
RNAcentral lists this ribosomal RNA (881 nucleotides) under uncultured archaeon. Its description in RNAcentral is "bacterial SSU rRNA". It matches the Rfam family "Archaeal small subunit ribosomal RNA", at positions 1 to 880 of the family's 1478-position model. The record is from RNAcentral.